CGAAAUGCGAAACGCAAUGCGAAUUGCAGAACCGCGAGUCAUCAGAUCUUUGAACGCAAGUGGCGGCAGCUUCGGCUGUCAUGUUUGUUUCAGUGUAUCCGGUUAAUUAC
RNAcentral lists this ribosomal RNA (110 nucleotides) under Carchesium polypinum. Its description in RNAcentral is "5.8S ribosomal RNA". The stretch from base 1 to 98 matches the Rfam family "5.8S ribosomal RNA", at positions 49 to 154 of the family's 154-position model. Rfam says of the family: 5.8S ribosomal RNA (5.8S rRNA) is a component of the large subunit of the eukaryotic ribosome. The record is from RNAcentral. Lineage: Eukaryota; Ciliophora; Oligohymenophorea; Sessilida; Vorticellidae.